This 506-nucleotide ribosomal RNA is filed under the name uncultured Alphaproteobacteria bacterium. Its description in RNAcentral is "bacterial SSU rRNA". It matches the Rfam family "Bacterial small subunit ribosomal RNA", at positions 372 to 896 of the family's 1533-position model. Lineage: Bacteria; Pseudomonadati; Pseudomonadota; Alphaproteobacteria. The record is from RNAcentral.
UGGGGGCAACCCUGAUCCAGCCAUGCCGCGUGAGUGAUGACGGCCUUAGGGUUGUAAAGCUCUUUUCUCCGGGACGAUAAUGACGGUACCGGAGGAAUAAGCCCCGGCUAACUUCGUGCCAGCAGCCGCGGUAAUACGAAGGGGGCUAGCGUUGCUCGGAAUCACUGGGCGUAAAGGGCGCGUAGGCGGCUGAUUUAGUCGAGGGUGAAAGCCCGUGGCUCAACCACGGAAUGGCCUUCGAUACUGAUUGGCUUGAGACCGGAAGAGGACAGCGGAACUGCGAGUGUAGAGGUGAAAUUCGUAGAUAUUCGCAAGAACACCAGUGGCGAAGGCGGCUGUCUGGUCCGGUUCUGACGCUGAGGCGCGAAAGCGUGGGGAGCAAACAGGAUUAGAUACCCUGGUAGUCCACGCUGUAAACGAUGAAUGCUAGCCGUUGGGGUGCAUGCACCUCAGUGGCGCCGCUAACGCUUUAAGCAUUCCGCCUGGGGAGUACGGUCGCAAGAUUA